CCAUUUGCCUUGGCACCUUUGCUCCUUCUAUCUCCAUCCCCUCUGAGAUUUCUUAAAAGAACACAUGGGCCCACUCGACAUCGCUCCACUGAGCUCUCUCUAACCUCCUUGCACUGAGUCGGGAGCUUUGCACAAAGAAGGGAAAUUAAGAUUGCGUGUACACCCCGAUCCUAACUCCGAAGGAAGCAAUCAUCUAGGACCAUCCUGCUGGACCCAACAGUGCGAAACAGCGGGUGAGGGGAGAACCAGGCCCCCUGAAGAAAGUCCUGAAUGAUGGGAGCCUUGGUGAUGGGACGGACCAACAAGUUCCAGAGUAACAACAGUGCUUUUAACAUUCUCGUCAGUUCCCAACCCUAGUGAGGGUUUCACAGCAUUGGCAGAUUGACCUGUCAGGCCCACCUCUGUACAGCGUCUCGUCAGGUUCCUACUGAAGAACUUCCAGUGUUCGCUCACAUUUAAACUCAGCAGCCUCUGUGGACAGCUGGAACCCCA
This 492-nucleotide long non-coding RNA is filed under the name Ailuropoda melanoleuca (giant panda). RNAcentral describes it as "lncRNA (ENSAMEG00000030910.1)". Lineage: Eukaryota; Metazoa; Chordata; Mammalia; Carnivora; Ursidae. The record is from RNAcentral.